ACAAAUUUGGUAGUGCGCACUUUCAAUUUCAAAUAUAUACUUUGGCUUAUUCCUAUUAUCCAACUAGCACACAUACCAUUUUCUAUUUUGUUUUAUUAUUUUAUUGAAUGGAUGCGCUUCUGAAUCACCAAAGGGAUCUUGGCAAAAUGGAGGAGGGGGUUGACCCCCCAUGACCUAAAGGUCAAGCGUUCAACCCCCAGCGUGCACACUUGUCCCAUUUUAUAUAUUUUUCCCUUUGUUUUGUUUAUUUUUCCACCAUAUUUAGUCUCCAUUUCAAAAUGAUUUUUUUACCACUUAUUUUUAUUCUAUUGAAAUUCUUCCCAACACAAACUCGUGUUAUUUUUCUCUCUACUAUUUUAUUAUGCUUUACUUUAUUUCAUUUGAUGAAACUUUUAUGGACUGGUGAGGUCUUGAACAUUGGUACCUAAUGAAGUGUAUUAGGUCAUGAUUUUGGUUUGAUUAGGGAUGUUUAAACCUUUUAUACUUCAAAUCUAUCAAUGAAUGAUCAAUGGAUCAUUCAUGAUACCUUGAGAUAUGGACAGGUUGCCUCUGCAUCAACCAACUUGGAUCAUUUGACAAAAAGAUGAAGCUUUAUUUGUGUACAUACUAACUUGUAAAGUUUCAUUUGAUUCAUUAUCUUUCUAUUGUUAUACUAACCCUCUAAAUAUUAUACUAUCUUGUAUAACCUAAUAAUUUAAUCAACAUAUUAACCUUUAACCCUUGAGUUGGUACUGUCUUCCUUUUGUCAAGCUAUUGAUAUAUGGGUUUGGGGUUUGUAUAACUUUCAUUGUUACAAAUAUAUUUUAAGUUGAUCAUUUGAUCAUCUUCAAUACUUUGCAUCAGUGAUAAGUUAUUCUUGAUGCACCAUAUUUUGAAUAUUUUGACCUAAGAAUAGAUGAUGCUCAAGCGUUAAACUUGUACAUACCACUAGUCAUACUUAACUUUACUAACUUUGGUUGCCACUAACCAUUGUUGUUAUCAUUGUUACUUUGUUAUUUACUUUUAUGUUGUCACAUUGUAAUUUACAUUCAAGUACUCAUCAUCAUCAUUGUAUAAACUCAUCAUGCAUGUUUAUUAUUGUCAUUUAUCUUUAUUGUUAUCAUACAUUAAAAACAAAACAAAAAACAUGAUAAAUUUUAAGACCAAAAAGAUUAAUUCCACAUGUAAUAAACUUGGACUUAGAGGAUAUCACAUAGGACAUUUUCUUGGAGGACCUUUCCUUACUUCGUGAUAUUUGGUUCUUAACUUUGGAUUUCAUCUGUAACUUACACACCGGUUAUAAGAAUGACAUCAUGACACUACCCUAGAGAGACAUGUUUGUAAGAACAUUGUCCUUUGUUAGCUUAGGUCACUCUUACAAUGAGACCCUUUACUUUCUUGUUUGGUUACUUUGUAUAUUCAUUACAUUACCUAAUUUCCUAAUCAAAUAAACAAACCAUUGAUUUAAUGUCAAGUGGAAUUUACAUAAUCAAAUUCAAAAUACAUAAAAUUACGGCUAGUAUUGUGCGCCACGGGCCUUAAGUGGUGGAGAAUGAGUAAGAAUGAAGCAUUCCUAUCCUUACUCUGAUUAUUUUGAACGCAAGAUGCUUGGAUUGUUGUCUAUAAUUUUCAUCUCCGUCCAUAGACUUUAGUGCAAUCUAAUCAAUAACCUUUUUUCAUAAACCCUUAUCAAAGUUAAAAUCAACACAACCCAUCAAACCUCAUUUUUGUGCCUUAGAGCACCACUCUGAAAACCUUUUUUUCAAUGGUAAAAUCAAUCAACACAAACAUUUUCUACUCCGAACUACGGAUCCCUGAUUCCUUAUCAUCCGAUGAGUGAUACGUAGGUACAAGGGCCACAAUCCUUGGCGAGCACAAUAAUUAAAAAACCCAGAGUCCUAUCAUUUUUAAACUCUUUAGAAAAUAAAACAAGAAUGAAUAGAUAAAUACCCACAUACGCAGACAACCCAAAUGGUUCCCAUGGAGUACCAUAGAUGUGAGGAGUGCUAAUACUUUCCCCUUUCGUAACAGACUUUCAAACCCAAGUCUCAGUUGCGAGACCAGUUAUUUAUCCUUGCACUUCCGCGUGUACCUUUUCCUUUUGUGAGUUUUAUCGACUAUUUUCCCUCCCCUCUCCCAUAGAGGAAAUCCAAAUAUUUUUCGGUGGAGACUCUUCUAAUCUUGCCUUUUCUAUCUCUUUGAUGAGGCAAUUCUUUUCUUCAGUCUGUCCAGUUUGCUCCUCCGAUUUUAAAACCCCGGGUACGACAGCUGGAGACUCUGCUGCGAAUACCAGUUUCCCUAAGCAAGUUUAGCCUAGUUUAGUUUGUCAUUCUUUUUGCGUAUGCGGGGAUUUAUCCGUUUAUUUUUUUCUGUCUAUAUAUUGCUUUUUGUUACUAACCUAUGUAUAUAUUUUUCUUCUUUGUUGGCCCGAAACUUUGGUUUUGUGGGGAAGGAAAAUGGUUACAAUAAUUAUUAUAAUAAAAACCUUGUGUGAAAGACUCUCCACCCGAGUCUGAGAGCUUACUUGAGGUAUAAUAGGUUGAGCACUAUGGGUCUCAGGGGAGAUUUCCUCGUGUAGGGUCGUAAGAGAACCUCACCUAGUUCUAGAUUCUCUUAAAGGUAUUGAUGACCGUAUAGAUUUCGGCGUAAGCAUCCUUAUCUUCAUUAGAGUCUGUGACCCUAAGACCGCCUUCUUAGAACAUUUAACCUUGGCAGGCCUAGACCGAUGAUCGUAUGGUAUAGGUCCCCGAGGAGUUUUCCUCGCGAGGGUCGAUACGAAGAUCUUACUUAGAGUAGAUUUCCUUGAUGGAGUUGUCGCCUGGCAAGUAAAUUGACAUAAGCAGUGGAGAGUCAAGGGAGUCCAUGACUCUAACGGCAGUGUCUUACACCCAAUAUCUCAAAAGCCCUAGAUCAUGCAAAGUGAGAAUCCUGAUUUGAAAAGCAUUCAUUAUUAAACCUCACACUUAGUCACGAUGGUCCCAUAUUUUGAACGUCGUGCCUAAAGUUCCAUGGAAACUAAUAAGAACCGUUCAUCCAUUCAUGCAUUCAUUCAUACAUAAUUAAUCAAUCAGUUAAGCUCGUAAGUAUUUCUUUUGUUUAAACGCAGAAUUGUAAGACUCUUUACUAACACAAUCAUGGAUCCCUCAAUAAGGAAAAUCACUUUCACAUUCAGAUACAAGAGUCUGAAUGUUGACAAUUUGAAGGUCCUUUGCUCUAGAGUAACGUCCCUCAAGGAUAACAAAUUCGGAGCUACCUUUGGCAACAUCAUAAACCUUUUGAACGAGAAGGGCGACUAUGGUGCAAUCACCACUUUAGCUCAAUAUUAUGACAUCCCUCUAAGAUGUUUCACCUUCCCUAACUUUCAAAUCUCCCUAACUCUGGAAGAUAUCCAGAGGCUUAUCAACCGACCGAUAAAGGAAUAUAACCCCUUCUCUGAAUUAGAAGAAGGAUUUUGCUUGUCCGAACUCUCCGACGUCUUGGGUAUCAACACCAAUGAACUAGUGGCCAGUUGGGGAUCUAAAGGUGUCAUCAAGGGUCUAACGCAUAAAUUCCUUGAAACCCAUGCUUGGAAGAUGAUUAAGGAAGAAAGGCCAGAUUUCUGUAGCGCAACAUUAACAUUUUUGAUUCAUGGAAUUGUCCUAUUCCCUAACAUAGACAAUUUCGUGGAUCAUUUGGCAGUGGAAGUCUUCCUGGCCAAUGACUCGGUGCCAUUCUUGCUCACCAACUUCUGUCAUGCCUUUCAUACAGGCAUGAGAAGAAAGGAGAUACCUUUCUCUAUUGCAAUCCCUUAUUGCACCUAUGGAUGAGUGCUCGUAUGCCUCAACAUGGACCCUUUUCUUAUAGAAACCUAUCAUGGCCCCAAAAGUUUGCAUCUCUUUCUUCCAAUUCAAUCAUCUGGUUUAAUAGAAAAUGGGAAACAAAGAAUGUCAUUGCAAGAUAUGGAGGGUUCCCGAAUGUCCCCUUAAUAGGAACACAUGGUUAGAUCAACUACAACCCCGUGCUUCUCAAGAGACAGUUAGGAUAUGCCAUGUUGAGUCUUCCCGAGCCUCAUAACUUUCAUCGUUAAUAACGUGGAUCCACUCGAUUCAAUCGUGAAGAGAGUAAGAAUAGCUUGGACAUGCAUAAUCUGAAUCGACCAAGAUUGGGGCAAGAAGAAUAUCCUAGCCAAGGAACCCUAGUUUGUAUGGGUAAAAGAGAGGGAUAUGGUUGUCAAGAUGCAAUUCAUUUUUGAGUCUUCAUCAUUUCCGUUGGUGCCCGAACCCGAGCCCAUAUUGCAAGAAGACGUGGAUAAGCUUAUCGACAAGAUACAAGAGCUUGAGUUGGAGAACACUCAAUUAUGAGUCCAACUUGGUCGUGCCAAGGAACGUAACUACACCUUGGAAGAUAAGGGUAAGAAAGUAUGUAAGGAUUUCACGGUCAAUAAGAAGAGACUAAGGGAAGUCGAAGGCCAAAAAAUUGGGGUUGGUGAUGCUCUACUAUGAGCUAAUUAUGAGCUAGACACUCGAACAACAUGUUGUUCAAGCGUACAGAACCAUUAGGGACCUUGAGAAGAUCGUUGAGAGGUCUAAUGCGAUGAAGAAAGAGGCUAGGGAGGAUUACGAAGCCCAAAUCUUAGAGCUUAGGACCACUCUAAAAGAGUGCAAGGAUGUCUUGGCUAAGGAACAACUAGAGAGGGACAAAAUCCACCGAAGAUUCUUGUGCGAAUGGUUCAACCUUAGAAGAACUUAUGAGCAAAUCAAGAAUCUGAAGAUGGGAAACUACGAUCAAGCAUACACGGAGUUGCAAAAUGAGUGCAAAUAUUGAAAUGGACGAUCAAAAAGACACAUAUUUCAGUCCAAAGGUUGCCUCCAUGCAUGAUACAUUUAGUCGCUUGACCAACGAGGUGGAGAAGAAGGUUAAAGCCAUCAAGGAGUAACUGAAGACAAUGGAAAGUACCGACACUUUAGGUAUCGAUGCUGUAAAUAUGUGCUUAGUCCCUGAAAUGGUUAUCCCCGCUAAAUUCAAAGUCCACGACUUUGAAAAAUAUAAAGGACCCAGUAAUCCGAGGACCCGUAUCCGAGCUUAUUGUCGUAAAAUGGCCGCUUAUUCUAAUGACGACAGACUCCUCAUGCAUUUCUUCCAAGAUUCAUUGAUUAGAUCAUCUUUGGAUUGGUACAUACAAUUGUAAGGUACCCACAUUUGGACGUGGAGGGAGAUAGAAGAAGUAUUCCUUAAUCAUUACCAGUAUGAUAUAGAUAUGGCGCCCAAUUGCACGUAGUUUCAAAACUUGACGUAAAAGUCCGAAGAGACUUUUAAGGAAUCCGCUCAACGGUGGAGAGAGCAUGCGGCUACGGUACAACCUCCUUUGCUAGAACGUGGAUUGGUAGAUAUGUUCAUGAGCAAUCUGCAAGGCCCUUACUUAGAUAGGAUGGUAGGGAGUACAUCCUCUAGUUUCUCCAACUUAGUUUUGGUCGGUGAAAUAUUUGAGAAUAUGAUGAAAAUGGGGAAGAUCCAGAACUCUACAAGCGCCUCCUGUGUUGUGAAAAAACCCUUUGUAUAUUAUAGAAAGAAAAGGGAAGGAGAAACAAAUGCAACCGCAUUAUUCAGAGCAAGAGCCCCAACAUACCGUGUCACAUAUCAACAAGUUGUCUCUGUAGCACCAUUUCAAUAACAACAACAACCAUUUACAAUUUCGAUCCAACAACAACCACAACAACAUCAACAACGUUAUCAUCAGCAACCUCAGCAACAACAACAAUGUUACCAACAACAACAGCAACAACAACAACAACAACGUCAAAGACGUCCUGAGAGAAGAUUUGAUCUAGUCCAAAUAUCGUACAGUCAUAUUCUACCUUACUUUUUAUGAGGAUCUUUGGUGGAGUUAAGGGAGUUAGGGCCACCCCAAGCGGUCCUUCCUCCGGUUUCUGAUGUCAACGCUUGGUGCGAGUUCCAUUCUGGCGCUCCCGGUCAUUCAAUCGAGAACUGUAAAUCCUUAAUGUAUAAAAUGCAAGAUUCGAUAGAUUCUAAGGCAUUGCGUUUGCGCCUAACAUCCCAAAUGUAAACAAUAACCCAAUUUUUCCUCACAAUAAGUCAACCGUGAAUAUGGUAGAAUAUGACAAUGGAAGAAGAUUAAUGUCCCGUGGGGACGAGUUAAAAACACCCCUCAUUGAGAUCAAGAAUGUUUUGAUGAAAAAUUAUGCAUUCCCCUUUUGUAUUAAUGAUUGUGAACAUCGUCUGAUUGAUCUGCAACAAUGUGCAACUUUGAAGUCUGCCAUACAACGAUUAAUGGACCAAGGAAUCUUGGUGGCAGAUCGUCCAUCCACCAAGGAAGAAGUGUCCACCCUAGAGAUCCCAUAUGAUGAAGUCUUACCUCUACAAAUACCUUAUGGUCUCUCUCAAAUGACUAUCUCCAACUACCCGAUUACUCAUAUGGUUAUAACGGUCCCCACUCCAUUCCCAUUCAAUGAUACAAAAGUAGUUCCAUGGGUAUAUGACUCAGUUGUUUACAUCUAUGGGCAAAGAGUCCGAGAAGAACCAACAAUGUCUGUUGAGCCAAUGGUAGGUACAGCUGGAACUGGUGGAGUCACCCAAAGUGGAAGGACCUUUGUUCCGAUAUCUCCCCCAAUUGACAAUCAUGGCACUUCCAACCAAGGAAAAGGCAAGCAAAUCGAAGUUGGCCAGCAAAGGCAAGAUUCUCUACCUACCAAUGAGGUGGAUGAAUUCUUGCACAUUAUUACGAGGAGUGAUUAUAGGGUGGUUAACCAACUCAACCAAACCCCAUAAAAAAUAACAAUGUUUUCUUUGCUCAUGUGCUCCGAGGCACAUAUGGGCUCCUUAGUCAAGUUCUUGAAAGCCACCCACAUAUUGCAAGAGAUUUUCGUUUGCCAAUUUGAGGGAGUUGUCAAUAAUAUAGUUACUAACAUGAGUCCAGGUCUCAGUGAUGAAGAGCUUCCCUCCGAAGGAAAAAACCAUAAUAAGGCCCUACACAUUUCUAUUAAAUGUGUAGACGUUGUUUUGUCUACGGUCUUAGUGGAUACCGACUUGUCUCUUAAGGUACUACCGAAGAGUUCUCUUUCUAAAAUGACUAUUGAAGGGCUCGUAAUGAAAUCGAGAAAGCUAUUUGUGAGAUAAUUUGAUGGAUCAGGAUAAAUUGUAAUUGGUAAAGUGGAUCUCCCCAUCAAUAUCAGCCUCAUACUUUCUUUAUCACUUUCUUCAUAGUGGAUAUAUAUCCAGCUUAGAGUUGUUUGCUCGGACGACUGUGGAUACAUUAAGCCGGAUAUGUCACUUUGACACUUCAUUAAAGGUUGAAUUUUUUGGUCAACAAAAAGCUCAUGGUAAUUGAAGGAGAGAAAUACAUCAUGGUGAGCCACUUGGAAUUGUUCCGAUAAGUUGAAGAAGGAUGAGAGGUUUAGGAAAUCCCAUUUCUUGAAGUUGUCAAUGUUGAGAUGGUUGGCCCUAUAGGGGGAGUUAAAACUAUUGAAUUUUCGAUGGCUUAUCUGAAAGACGCUCAGGCUGUUAUCAAUAAAGGACACCCCAAAGAUUGAGAGAGGAUAUUAGAAUUGUCGGUCAACAAGGAUUGUGUCAGAUUGGGAUACAACUCCCAAAACUUGAAGAAGCAAGUGCCAAUUGUUGUAGAGGGGCAAGUGCCCCCCUUGUCAGAUUUCUUCUCAAGUGAAGGACACCUCAUGGAUGGCCAUAUUUAUGCUCUGGAAGAGGAUGGUAUAGUUGAAGACGAAAUACUAAUUUACAAGAAGGUUGAUGGCCAAGAAUUGACCAAUUGGACUGGGUUUGAGUUACCCGAAGUCAGAAUGUUAGAAAAGUAAAUUUUCCUAUUUAAUGUUUUCCAUUUAAAGAAACAAAAGAACCCAUGCUAUACCCAUGAAAUGGGGGAACCAUGUGUAGGGCCUCCGUCAAAUUUUCUUUUAAUCAAUCAAUGAAAGUUGCACGCUUUGCAUCCAAAUUUUGCUCAUUGUAUUUCAUUUAUUUUUACUUUUUCACUUAAAUUAAAAAUGGCAAUGUUUUCUAACUUGUCUUUAAGUUUUCAUUCUUUUUUCUAAUUCUCAAAAUAAAAAGUAUUAAUUAUGAAUCAUGCAGAUCCCCCACCCCUCAACUUCCGCCAAUACCGACUCUGCUAUGGUCCCUUAUGACUUCUACAAUCCGAUCAAUCACGGUGACAAAGAGGGUGAGAAAGAUUGUGAACUCCCUGAGGAGUUAUCACGACUACUAAAACAAGAGUUAAAGGUAAUUCAACCACCUGGAGAGUCUGUAGGGGUGGUCAAUCUCAGAACUAAAGAGGAAGUCAAGGAAGUUAAGGAAGUCAUAUUAGGCUCAGCCCUACAAGAAGAUGUGAAGACAAAGUUGAUCAAACUCCUACAAGAGUACAUGGAUGUGUUUGCAUGGUCCUACCAAGACAUGUCAGACCUCAAUACCAAUAUCGUGGUCCAUCGUCUACCUCACGAAGAAGAUUGCCCUCCUCUGAAGCAAAGGCUAAUAAGGACCCGUCCUGAUAUGGAAAUGAAGAUCAAUGAGGAAGUACAAAAACAGGUUGAGCGGGAUUUCUUCCCGUAGCCAAUUACCCUCAGUGGAUAGCCAAUAUUGUACUUGUACCCAAAAAGGAUGGGAAGGGAUGUAUAUACACUACAAAGAUUUAAACAGAGAAAUCCCCAAAGACAACUUCCCACUGCCUCACAUUGAUAUGUUAGUCGAUAAUAUAGCUCAAUUCUUAGUAUUCUCGUUCAUUGAUGGCUUCUCCGGCUACAACCAAUCAGAAUGGCUUUCGAGGACAUGGAAAAGAAUACCUUCAUUACCCCAUGGGGUACUUUCUUCUACAGGGUUAUGCCCUUCAAACUAAAGAAUGCUAGUGCAACCUACCAACGAGCCAUGGUCACACUCUUUCAUGAAAUGAUUCAUAAAGAGAUCGAGGUCUACGUUGAUGAUAUGAUUGCCAAAUCACAAACCGAAAAGGAGCAUCUUGGAAACCUUGAGAAGCUAUUUGAAAGGCUGUAGAAAUUCAAGUUAAGGCUCAAUCCCAAUAAAUGCACGUUUGGGGUGAGAUCUGGCAAAUUGCUAGGUUUUAUCGUCAGCCAAGAUGGUAUUGAAGUGGAUCCUGAGAAGGUAAAGGCCAUACAAGUUAUGCCUGCGUCCAAAACUGAGACGGAAGACAGAGGAUGGCUAGGUAGAUUGAACUAUAUAGAUAGGUUCAUAUCUCACCUUAUGGCCACCUGUGAUCCAAUCUUCAAACUAUUUUGAAAGGAUCAAGUCGUCAUUUAGAAUGACAACUGCCAAAAUGCUUUCGAGAAGAUCAAGGAGUACCUAUAAGACCCUCUUAUUCUGAUGCCUCCGGUGCCUGGAAGACCUUUGGUCGUGUACCUUACACUCCUUGAGGGAUCCAUGGGAUAUGUCUUCGGCCAACGCGACGAGGCUGGAAGAAAAGAGCACGUCAUAUACUACUUGAACAAGAAGUUUACCGAUUGCGAGAAUAGGUAUUUGAUACUUGAAAAGACUUAUUGUGCACUUGCUUGGUUUGCCAAAUGCCUAAGACAAUACAUGCUCACACACAUUACACUAUUAAUAUCUAAGAUGGAUCUAGUCAAGUACAUCUUCGUGGAGCCUUCUCUAACCGAUAGAGUAGCCCAUUGGCAAAUGGCUUUAACCGAGUAUGACAUCCAACAUGUCACUCAAAAAUCUAUCAAAGGGAGUGUAUUGUCAGACUAUCUUGCACAUCAACCUUUUGAGGACUACCAGUCUAUGCGCUUUGAGUUCCCUGAUGAAGACAUUAGGCUCAUAAGGGAUUGCAACAUCCCCGACCCCAAGGAAGAACCAGAACCUGGAUCUCGGUGGACUCUUGUAUUUGAUGGAGCUUCUAAUGUGAAUGGCAAUGACAUUGGGGCAGCCAUCACCUUCCCAACUAGUUUUCACUUACCAUUCACCGCAAGGUUGUGCUUUGACUGUACCAAAAAUAUGGCAUAGUACGAGGCUUGGAUAUUCGGUAUUGAAGUUGUGAUUGAUCUUAGGAUCAAAAUUCUUGAAGUCUGUGGAGAUUCAGCCUUGGUCAUCAGCCAAGGCAAAGGAGAAUUAGACGCCCGAGAUCACAAGUUAAUCCCUUAUAAGGAGCAUGUCCUGAAGUUAAUCUCGUACUUUAACAAGAUUACAUUCCAUCACAUCCCUAUAGAGGAAAACCAAUUAGCCGACGCCUUGGCAACUCUAUCAUCCAUGUUUAAGGUCAAAUGGAAGAAUGAAGCACCAUCAUUUCACCUCGACUACUUGGACGAGCCUGCUUACUAUUUGGCGGCAAAAGACAAAGCUGAUGGCCACCCUUGGUUCUACGACAUCCUGAGGUUCCUAGAAAGCUAAUAAUAUCUAGGGAACAUAUCCAUCAUCGAUAAGAAGUACUUUUGAUAGUUUUCGUCCAAGUUCUUCUUAAGCGGAGGGGUAUUGUACAAAAGGAAUUAUGAUUCGGUGUUGCUCAAAUGUGUGAACAAGCAAGAAGCAACCCAAAUUAUAAUGGAAAUACAUGAAGGAUCCUUUGGGACGCAUGAUAGUGGACACAUAAUGGUGAAGAAAAACUUAUGGGCAUGCUAUUAUUGGAUGACCAUGGAGGUUGACUAGUACCGCCACGUCCAAACAUGCCUCAAGUGCUAAAUCUAUGCCGACAAGAUCCAUGUACCGCCAAUACCACUCAAUGUCCUAACAUCACCUUGGCCUUUCUCCAUGUGGGGCAUUGACGCGAUCGGACGCAUUGAGCCAACUACCUCAAACGGACAUCGCUUAAUCUUGGUAUCCAUAAACUAAUUCACUAAAUGGGUGGAAGCAGUCUCCUAUACCAACGUCAUAAGACAAUUGGUGGCUCGAUUCAUAAGGAAAUAAAUCAUUUGUCAUUAUGGGCUCCCCAACAAGAUCAUUACUGAUAAUGGAUCUAACUUCAAUAACAAAAUGAUGAAAGAGUUGGGCCAAAGCUUCAAAAUCGAGCAUCACAAUUUUUCGCCUUAUCGGUCGAAGAUGAAUGAUGUUGUUGAGGCAGCUAGCAAGAAUAUCAAGAAAAUCAUGCAAAAAAUGGUGGAACCAUACAAAUAUUGGCACGAGGUGCUCCCGUUCGCAUUGUAUGGCUACCGUAGCUUCGUACGUACCUCCACUAGGGAAACCCCCUCUCUCUCGUGUAUGGCAUAGAUACAUUCCUUCUUGUUGAAGUAGAGAUUCCUUCCUUAAUAAUUUUGAUCGACGUAAAUCUUGAUGAAGAAGACGAGUGGGUGAAAGCCCAAUUCGACCAACUGAACCUCAUUGAUGAGAAACAUUUGGCAGCCAUCUACCACGACCAACUAUACCAAAAGUGCAUCAAGAGGGCACAUGACAAAAAGGUCUUUCCUCGAAACCUCAAGGCUGGAGACCUAUUCUUGAAGAAGAUUCUACUAAUUCAUACUGACCCAAGGGGAAAAUGGAUGCCUAACUAUGAAGACCCAUACUUUGUAAAGAAUGUUUUCUCAUAAGGAGCCUUAAUCUUGGCAACUAUGGAUGGUGAAGAUAUUUCAUCUCCUGUAAAUGCGAAUGCAAUCAGAAAAUACUACGCUUAAAAAAAGAGAAAGAGAAAAUAGCCCGAUAAGUUGAAAACUUGAAAGGGCAACUUAUGCUAAAAUGGGUAUCACGGUAGCUGAAAACCCGAAAGGGUUGUCUAGGCAAAAAUUAGGGAUUCAUGAAAGCAAGAGGUUGCAUUCCGUAAAGAAUCUUCUACACUCCUCGAUGAGUCAAUCCAAUGACUUUCCUUCUGAAGCGAGAUCUGAGGACAUAAGGACUAUAGAGAAGUUAGAACUUGGUGGAAAUCCGAGCUAUUUCUAUUUUCA
This 11795-nucleotide long non-coding RNA is filed under the name Lathyrus oleraceus (garden pea). RNAcentral's name for it is "Pisum sativum (pea) long non-coding RNA (PSAT_LNC031141)". The record is from RNAcentral. Lineage: Eukaryota; Viridiplantae; Streptophyta; Magnoliopsida; Fabales; Fabaceae.